GACUAGGGCCAGUAGCAGCCCUAACAGGGCUCUCCCUGAGUCCCAGGGAGGUGAGUUCCCAGAGAAAGGGGCUCUGCACGAGGGCAGAAUGGGCAGGAGAUGCCGCGAGCCUGCUCCGGGUCCCGGUGGAUGCCUCCUUAGCUGGAGCUUGGAACAGACUCACGGCCAGCUACUGACUUUUUAACAAUAAAAAAU
Molecule: ribozyme, 195 nt
Organism: Oryctolagus cuniculus (rabbit)
Lineage: Eukaryota; Metazoa; Chordata; Mammalia; Lagomorpha; Leporidae
Rfam family: Nuclear RNase P
About the family: Ribonuclease P (RNase P) is a ubiquitous endoribonuclease, found in archaea, bacteria and eukarya as well as chloroplasts and mitochondria. Its best characterised activity is the generation of mature 5'-ends of tRNAs by cleaving the 5'-leader elements of precursor-tRNAs. Cellular RNase Ps are ribonucleoproteins.
Source: Ensembl